Molecule: ribosomal RNA, 484 nt
Filed under: uncultured bacterium
Lineage: Bacteria
Description: partial 16S ribosomal RNA
Rfam family: Bacterial small subunit ribosomal RNA
Source: RNAcentral
GACGAACGCUGGCGGCGUGCUUAACACAUGCAAGUCGAACGAUGAAGCUAGAGCUUGCUCUGGUGAAUUAGUGGCGAACGGGUGAGUAACACGUGAGUAACCUGCCCCGAACUCUGGGAUAACUGCUGGAAACGGUAGCUAAUACUGGAUACGACCUACGAAGGCAUCUUCUGUAGGUGGAAAGAAUUUCGGUUCGGGAUGGACUCGCGGCCUAUCAGCUUGUUGGUGAGGUAAUGGCUCACCAAGGCGACGAUGGGUAGCCGGCCUGGGAGGGUGACCGGCCGCACUGGGAGUGGGCAACGGCCCAGACGCCUACGGGGGGCAGGAGUGGGGUAUAGUGCACGAUAGGCGCAAGCCUGGAGCAGCAACGCCGGGUGAGGGAUGACGGCCUUCGGGUUGUAAACCUCUUUUAGUAGAGAAGACGCGAAAGUGACGGUACCUGCAGAAAAAGCACCGGCUAACUACGUACCAGCCGCCGCAGUAA